This 367-nucleotide ribosomal RNA is filed under the name Salamandra atra aurorae. RNAcentral describes it as "partial 12S ribosomal RNA". It matches the Rfam family "Bacterial small subunit ribosomal RNA", at positions 794 to 1384 of the family's 1533-position model. Lineage: Eukaryota; Metazoa; Chordata; Amphibia; Caudata; Salamandridae. The record is from RNAcentral.
GCCUAGACAUAAACUUUGAUUAUCCGCCAGAGUACUACGAGCUACAGCUUAAAACUCAAAGGACUUGGCGGUGCUUUACACCCCCCUAGAGGAGCCUGUUCUAUAAUCGAUAAUCCCCGAUAAACCUCACCACCUAUUGCCAAUACAGCCUAUAUACCACCGUCCAGCCCGCCCUUUAAAGGAUAAACAGCAGGCAUAAUUAUAAACAUUAAAACGUCAGGUCAAGGUGUAGCAGAUAAGGUGGAAAGAAAUGGGCUACAUUUUCUAACUUAGAAAACACGGAUGAUUCUAUGAAAUAGUUUCUGAAGGAGGAUUUAGCAGUAAAAAGAAACAAGAAUGUUCUUUUUAAGACGGCAAUAAAGCGCGC